GACGAACGCUGGCGGCGUGCCUAAUACAUGCAAGUAGAACGCUGAAGGAGGAGCUUGCUUCUCUGGAUGAGUUGCGAACGGGUGAGUAACGCGUAUGUAACCUGCCUGGUAGCGGGGGAUAACUAUUGGAAACGAUAGCUAAUACCGCAUAAGAGUAGAUGUCGCAUGACAUUUGCUUAAAAGGUGCAAUUGCAUCACUACCAGAUGGACCUGCGUUGUAUUAGCUAGUUGGUGAGGUAACGGCUCAACAAGGCAACGAUACAUAGCCGACCUGAUAGGGUGAUCGGCCACACUGGGAAUGGGACACGGCCCCGACUCCCACGGGAGGCAGCAGUAGGGAAUCUUCGGCAAUGGACGGAAGUCUGACCGAGCAACGCCGCGUGAGUGAAGAAGGGUUUCGGAUCGUAAAGAUCUGUUGUAAGAGAAGAAAGAGAGUGAGAGUGGAAAGUUCACACUGUGACGGUAUCUUAUCAGAAAGGGACGGCUAACUACGUG
This 495-nucleotide ribosomal RNA is filed under the name uncultured bacterium. RNAcentral describes it as "partial 16S ribosomal RNA". It matches the Rfam family "Bacterial small subunit ribosomal RNA", at positions 28 to 507 of the family's 1533-position model. The record is from RNAcentral.